AGCGAACGCUGGCGGCAGGCUUAACACAUGCAAGUCGAGCGGGCACUUCGGGGUCAGCGGCGGACGGGGGAGUAACGCGUGGGAACGUGCCCUUUGGUCUGGAAUAAUUCUGGGUAACUAGGGCUAAUAACGGAUACGCUCAUUUGGGGAAGGGGUUCCUGCCGGAUGCUCGGCCCGUGUCGGAUUGGCCGGUUGGGGGUGUAAUGGCAUACCAAGGCGACGAUGAGUAGCUGGUGGGAGAGGAUGAUCUGCAGCACUGGGACUGAGACACGGCCCAGACUCCUACGGGAGGGAGCAGUGGGGAAUAUUGGGCAAUGGGCGCAAGCCUGAUCCAGCCAUGCCGCGUGAGUGAUGAAGGCCUUAGGGUUGUAAAGCUCUUUUAUCCGGGACGAUAAUGACGGUACCGGAGGAAUAAGCCCCGGCUAACUUCGUG
This 433-nucleotide ribosomal RNA is filed under the name uncultured bacterium. RNAcentral describes it as "partial 16S ribosomal RNA". It matches the Rfam family "Bacterial small subunit ribosomal RNA", at positions 28 to 507 of the family's 1533-position model. The record is from RNAcentral.